CCUACGGGAGGCAGCAGUGGGGGAUAUUGCACAAUGGGGGAAACCCUGAUGCAGCGACGCCGCGUGUGGGAAGACGGUCCUCUGGAUUGUAAACCACUGUCCCCAGGGACGAAGAUGACGGUAUCUGGGGAGGAAGCUCCGGCAAACUACGUGCGAGCAGCCGCGGUAUUACGUAGGGAGCGAGCGUUGUCCGGAAUUACUGGGUGUAAAGGGAGCGUAGGCGGGGAUGCAAGUUGGGUGUAAAAACUACCGGCUCAACUGGUAGUCGCACUCAAAACUGCAGCUCUUGAGUGAAGUAGAGGCAGGCGGAAUUCCGAGUGUAGCGGUGAAAUGCGUAGAUAUUAGGAGGAACACCAGUGGCGAAGGCGGCCUGCUGGGCUUUUACUGACGCUGAGGCUCGAAAGUGUGGGGAGCAAACAGGAUUAGAUACCCGUGUAGUC
This 440-nucleotide ribosomal RNA is filed under the name uncultured bacterium. Its description in RNAcentral is "partial 16S ribosomal RNA". It matches the Rfam family "Bacterial small subunit ribosomal RNA", at positions 338 to 795 of the family's 1533-position model. The record is from RNAcentral.